Unclassified non-coding RNA from Callithrix jacchus (white-tufted-ear marmoset), 290 nucleotides. It matches the Rfam family "Metazoan signal recognition particle RNA". From Rfam's summary of the family: The signal recognition particle (SRP) is a universally conserved ribonucleoprotein. It is involved in the co-translational targeting of proteins to membranes. The eukaryotic SRP consists of a 300-nucleotide 7S RNA and six proteins: SRPs 72, 68, 54, 19, 14, and 9. The record is from Ensembl. NCBI's taxonomy places the organism in Eukaryota, Metazoa, Chordata, Mammalia, Primates, Cebidae.
GCCGGGCGCGGUGGCGCGUGCCUGUAGUUCCAGCUACUCGGGAGGCUGAGGUGGGAGGACUGCUGGAACCCAGGAGUUCUCGGCUGUGGUGCGCUAUGCUGAUCGGGUGUCCCCACCAAGUUUGGCAUCAACAUGGUGACCUCCCGGAAGCAGGGGACCACCAGGUUGUCUAAGGAGGGGUGAACUGGCCCAGGUCGGAAACGGAGCCGGUCAAAACCCCCGUGCUGAUCAGUAGUGGGAUCGCACCUGUGAAUAGCCAGCCUGGGCAACAUAGCGAGACCCCGUCUCUU